GUCACCCUGGGGGUUUGGGGUGAAUCCGGGGGAUUUCGGGGCGGUUUUGGGGCGAUUUUUGGGCGAUUUUGGGUCGAUUUUGGGGCAGUUUUUGGGGUGAUUUUGGGGUGAUUUUGGGGCGAUUUUGGGGCAGUUUUUGGGUCGGUUUUUUGGCAGUUUUGGGGCAGAUUUUGGGUGGAUUUUGGCCGUUUUCAGGUCGGAUAUUGGGUGGAUUUUGGCCGAUUUUGGGCAGAUUUUGGGUGGAUUUUUGGUCAGUUUUUUGGGGCAGAUUUUGGGUGGAUUUUUGGUCAGUUUUUGGGGAAGAUUUUGGGUGGAUUUUGGCCAUUUUCGGUCAGUUUUUGGGUGGAUUUUGGCCGAUUUUGGGCAGAUUUUGGGUCGAUUUUUGGUCAGUUUUGGGGCAGAUUUUGGGUCGAUUUUGGGCAGUUCUUGUGGCAGAUUUUGGGUGGAUUUUGGCCGAUUUUGGGCAGAUUUUGGGUCGAUUUUUGGUCAGUUUUUGGGGCAGAUUUUGGGUGAAUUUUGGCCGUUUUCAGGUCGGUUUUUGGGCAGAUUUUGGCUGUUUUUUGGUCAGUUUUUGGGGCAGAUUUUGGGUGGAUUUUUAGGCAGUUCUUGGGGCAGAUUUUGGGUGGAUUUUGGCCGUUUUCAGGUCGGUUUUUGGGCAGAUUUUGGGUGGAUUUUUGGUCAGUUUUUGGGGCAGAUUUUGGCCGUUUUCAGGUCGGUUUUUGGGUGGAUUUUGGCCGAUUUUGGGCAGAUUUUGGGUGGAUUUUUGGGCAGUUCUUGUGGCAGAUUUUGGGUGGAUUUUGGCCGUUUUCAGGUCGGAUAUUGGGUGGAUUUUGGCCGAUUUUGGUCAGAUUUUGGGUCGAUUUUUGGUCAGUUUUUGGGGCAGAUUUUGGGUGGAUUUUGGCCGUUUUCAGGUCGGUUUUUGGGUGGAUUUUGGCUGUUUUUGGGGCAGAUUUUGGGUGGAUUUUUGGUCAGUUUUUGGGGCAGAUUUUGGGUGGAUUUUGGCCGAUUUUGGUCAGAUUUUGGGUCGAUUUUUGGUCAGUUUUUGGGGCAGAUUUUGGGUGGAUUUUGGCCGUUUUCAGGCCGGUUUUUGGGUGGAUUUUGGCCGAUUUUGGCCCACCUGCGUGGCGCGCCGCGCCUGCCGCAUCAGGCGGCUCCGGGCCUUGCGCUGCGACUCCGACUCCUCGUCCCGCGCCGGCGGCUGGAACGGCCUGCGGGGUUGGGGAGAAAAA
RNAcentral lists this long non-coding RNA (1229 nucleotides) under Lonchura striata (white-rumped munia). RNAcentral describes it as "domestica (Bengalese finch) lncRNA (ENSLSDG00000003315.1)". Lineage: Eukaryota; Metazoa; Chordata; Aves; Passeriformes; Estrildidae. The record is from RNAcentral.